Molecule: ribosomal RNA, 301 nt
Filed under: uncultured bacterium
Lineage: Bacteria
Description: partial 16S ribosomal RNA
Rfam family: Bacterial small subunit ribosomal RNA
Source: RNAcentral
CAGUCGCCGCGGUAAUACGUAGGGUGCAAGCGUUAAUCGGAAUUACUGGGCGUAAAGCGUGCGCAGGCGGUUGUUUAAGACAGAUGUGAAAUCCCCGGGCUUAACCUGGGAACUGCGUUUGUGACUGCAAAGCUAGAGUAUGGCAGAGGGGGGUGGAAUUCCACGUGUAGCAGUGAAAUGCGUAGAUAUUUGCAGGAACACCGAUGGCGAAGGCAGCUCACUGGGAUGAUACUGACGCUGAUGCACGAAAGCGUGGGGAGCAAACAGGAUUAGAUACCCGCGUAGUCCCUGUCUCUUAUAC